RNAcentral lists this ribosomal RNA (578 nucleotides) under uncultured bacterium. Its description in RNAcentral is "bacterial SSU rRNA". It matches the Rfam family "Bacterial small subunit ribosomal RNA", at positions 338 to 916 of the family's 1533-position model. The record is from RNAcentral.
CCUACGGGAGGCAGCAGUAAGGAAUAUUGGACAAUGGGCGAAAGCCUGAUCCAGCCAUCCCGCGUGCAGGACGAAGGCCCUCUGGGUUGUAAACUGCUUUUGUCAGGGAAGAAUUGAGUGGAUUUAUCUGCUUUUGACGGUACCUGAAGAAUAAGCACCGGCUAACUCCGUGCCAGCAGCCGCGGUAAUACGGAGGGUGCAAGCGUUAUCCGGAAUCACUGGGUUUAAAGGGUGCGUAGGCGGCUUGUUAAGUCAGAGGUGAAAGCUUCCCGCUCAACGGGAGAAUUGCCUUUGAUACUGUCAGGCUUGAAUCAGAUUGAGGCGAGCGGAAUGUGGCAUGUAGCGGUGAAAUGCUUAGAUAUGCCAUAGAACACCGAUUGCGAAGGCAGCUUGCCAAGUCUGUAUUGACGCUGAGGCACGAAAGCGUGGGGAUCAAACAGGAUUAGAUACCCUGGUAGUCCACGCCCUAAACGAUGUUUACUCGACGUUCCGCCCCCGGGCGGAGCGUCCAAGCGAAAGCGUUAAGUAAACCACCUGGGGAGUACGCCGGCAACGGUGAAACUCAAAGGAAUUGACGG